GCUAACGUCCGUUGUGGAAAGGGAAACAACCCAGAUCGCCAACUAAGGUCCCAAAAUUACAGCUAAGUGGGAAACGAAGUGAGAAGUCAAAGACAGCCAGGAGGUUGGCUUAGAAGCAGCCAUCCUUUAAAGAAAGCGUAAUAGCUCACUGGUCAAGCCGACUUGCGCGGAAGAUUUAACGGGGCUUAAGCUGUAUACCGAAGUUGCGAAUGCUUAUUUUUAAUAAGCGUGGUAGGGGAGCGUUCUGUAAGUCAUUGAAGGCAUAUUGUGAGAUAUGCUGGAGAUAUCAGAAGUGAGAAUGCUGACAUGAGUAACGAUAAUGCGGGUGAAAAACCCGCACGCCGAAAACCCAAGGGUUCCUGCGCAACGUUAAUCGACGCAGGGUUAGUCGGUACCUAAGGCGAGACCGAAAGGUGUAGUCGAUGGACAACAGGUUAAUAUUCCUGUACCGCGUAUACUGCGAUGGGGGGACGGAGAAGGCUAAGCUUACCGGGUGUUGGUUAUCCCGGGAAAAGUAUGUAGGUAGAGAACUUUGGAAAAUCCGGGUUCUUAUUACUGAGAUACGAGACCAUUGAUUUUUUAAUCAAGAAGUAGCUGAUGCCAUGCUUCCAAGAAAAGCCUCUAAGCUUCAGGUAUUACGUGACCGUACCCCAAACCGACACAGGUGGGUGGGAUGAGAAUUCUAAGGCGCUUGAGAAAACUCUGGUGAAGGAACUAGGCAAAUUGGUACCGUAACUUCGGAAGAAGGUACGCCUUUGUUGGUGAUUGAAUUUACUUCAUAAGCUGAUGGAGGUCUCAGAAACCAGGUGGCUGCGACUGUUUACUAAAAACACAGCACUCUGCUAACUCGUAAGAGGAUGUAUAGGGUGUGACGCCUGCCCGGUGCCGGAAGGUUAAUUGAUCGAGUUAGCCCUUUUGGGCGAAGCCCGUGAUCGAAGCCCCGGUGAACGGCGGCCGUAACUAUAACGGUCCUAAGGUAGCGAAAUUCCUUGUCGGGUAAGUUCCGACCUGCACGAAUGGCGUAACGAUGGCCACACUGUCUCCACCAGAGACUCAGUGAAAUUGAAAUAGCUGUGAAGAUGCAGUUUAAACACCGCAAGACGGAAAGACCCCGUGCACCUUUACUACAGCUUUGCAUUGGACUUUGAUCCUGUUUGUGCAGGAUAGGUGGGAGGCAUUGAAGCAUAUGCGCCAGCGUAUGUGGAGCCAACCUUGAAAUACCACCCUGAUAUGAUUGAAGUUCUAACCUAGGUCCAUUAUCUGGAUCAGGGACAUUGUAUGGUGGGUAGUUUGACUGGGGCGGUCUCCUCCUAAAGAGUAACGGAGGAGCACAAAGGUUCCCUCAACUCGGUCGGCCAUCGAGUUUAGAGUGCAAAGGCAUAAGGGAGCUUGACUGCGAGACAGACAUGUCGAGCAGGAGCGAAAGCUGGUCUUAGUGAUCCGGUGGUUCUGUAUGGAAGGGCCAUCGCUCAACGGAUAAAAGGUACGCCGGGGAUAACAGGCUGAU
This 1507-nucleotide ribosomal RNA is filed under the name marine metagenome. RNAcentral describes it as "bacterial LSU rRNA". It matches the Rfam family "Bacterial large subunit ribosomal RNA", at positions 997 to 2486 of the family's 2925-position model. The record is from RNAcentral.